Long non-coding RNA from Lathyrus oleraceus (garden pea), 2348 nucleotides. RefSeq lists it as uncharacterized. The record is from RefSeq and is a predicted model, not a curated record. The transcript is spliced from 4 exons. Lineage: Eukaryota; Viridiplantae; Streptophyta; Magnoliopsida; Fabales; Fabaceae.
AAGGAUGACUUUAACUAGGCAAAAAAUCAACAGAAAUUUGAAAGCUCUAUGCGCGGUCCCACGAUGGCCACUUCAUUUCACCUCGCCUGACCUCCACCAUGGACCACUGCAUCGGAAAUCUCUUCUGGCAGCGGCAGUCACCAGAAAUAGAAAAUGGACCUACCUCCCGCCUUGUCUCAUCUUCUUGGUCACGAAUCUAACAUCCAAAAUUCCUAAUUUUUUGCCUAAGUCCACAAUCGAAACCAAAUUCUCAAGAAUCCUAAGAAGUUCAAUCCCUAAUUACACCUCCACGGAUGAAAUUGGAAGCUCAUGGUGUUAGGGAUUUGCAUUAGCUCGAUGUAGGGUGCAAUAUGGCAAUCAAAACGCGAAGAAAUAAUGAAGAUGGACCUACCUCUGAAGCUGAGACUUGCUCCGACAAGUGUUGAUCGAAGAAGAUGAAGACGACAAAUCACUUGUUCAAGAGGUACGGUAUUGUCUUUCUCUUCUUCUGAUUUACUUUUCUUCCAAUUCUUCUUCUUCCAAAAUUAUAUAGUGUGAUGAAUUCAGAUCGAUGAGGUUGAGCUCUCUCUUCUUGAAGCUUCAAUGUGAAACUUCAAUGGAGUUUAGAAAUUGAGCUUUGAGUGUGAGAGGGAGAGGAUUCAGAGAGAAUUUAGAAGUUUGAGGGUAAUGAUUACAAGGGCUGAAAUGAUGAUGAUAAUCAUGAUUAAAUAGGUAUUACGUUUGGAUUGGAGUAGGCUUAGAUUUAGGUAUGGAGUUAGUUAGGAUCCGGUUUGGAGUUGGUUAGAAUGAACUCACUGAGUUAACUCCAAACUCAGUUAGUUAGGGAGUUAGUUAAUGAAUUUAAAUUAUUUGGUUAGCUUAGUGAGUGUUAAAUCAAAUUUUGUUUCUGACUGGCAAUUGUAGGUUAUAUUUGAAAUGCAAUUCAGUGGAAUUGGCUUAACAUGAGUGAUGAAACCUUCAAUACCAACUGAACUUGUGACCUAGUUCAGGAAGUGCUAUGUUGUUGGUUAAUGUUAACUGUUAUGCAUUUCUUGGUGUUGGAAUGUAGGUUAAAACAUGUUGCCAUGUGUUUAUGCUUCCACUACAUUGGACUGUUGGGGUAGGGCAUUGGUGUUAAUUUGAAAUGAAUUUGGAGCCAAUUUGCAAGUGAAUUUGAAGUUGAAUUUAGAGUUAAUUUAGGAUGGACUUGUUGUACUGAGAGUCAUCUAUAUUCUGACUUAAUUGGCCUUGCAGUCAUUCUGUAGCAUAGCUUCAAUGUGUUAAACCAAGUCAGUUUUGAGUCAAUUUUGGUGUUCGCAUUGAGUUGAUUAUGCUUUUCCCUGGAAACAUUAUGCAGAUUAACCUGUUCUAUUUUGAACUGUUGGAGUUGCAGGUUUUACUUGCACUGUUGUGAAUAGGUAUUGGUUGUUGUGCUAGGUUGAGAUGCUUGUUAGUGGAUGAUGGUUUUGAUGUUGCUGCAACAUAUAUGCAUUGUUGAUGAGCUGACUGAACUGUUAUUGUAAUUAGCUACAAGUUUGCAUAUGGUUUGAAGAUGCCUUGUAGACUGUCUGCUUCGUAGGAUUUAUGUUUAAAGGAUAAUUGCAGGUUUGGUUGGAUGCAAGACAUGAUGGUUCAUUGUUGGGUUGUACUUGCAUUGCCAACUGACUUGGUCUGGAUGCAACCUUGCAUGAUGUCGUGAUUCUCUUGGCCAUAGCCAUGUUCAGGUAAUGAUAAGCCCAUGUUUUAUUUCCUUUGUGAUGUACCAGAGUUGCAACAGACUUUUCAAAUGGCCAUUCCAUGAUGCAUAAGCUGACUGGUUUAGCUGAUUUGGUAUGGUGCCAUGGUGAGGUCAGACAAUGCAAAGUGUUGUGGCUGCUAUGAGGCAUGCAGGAUAGUCAUAAGGUCUUGCUUUGCAGCAUGUUGUUUUUUAUAUGCAUUAGCUGCAGGAUACAUGAUGGUUUGUUGUCUUGCAAGUUGAAGGAUGCUAGGCAUGGUGUAGCAAGGCAAGCAGGGAAAAUGGCCUGAGUUGGCAGCAUGUGUUCUGACUUGUUGUAGCAUGAACCUGGCAGGCUUGGUGGACAUGAUUUUGAACAUGGACAAUGUUACUUGUAAAUGAAUAAACAUGACACAAACAAACCAACAUGACCUUUAGAUGAUAAAUUAAGGAAAGGUGGAUUAGAUUAGAUCUUAGGUGGCCAAAAAGGGAUGAGUUGACUUUGUUCAAAAUUGACCAAAAAGUCAAUGGUUGACCAAAGUCAACACUUGGUCAAAGUUGCUAAAAUUUGUAAGUUUUUAUGUAAUGAUCAAUGUAAUGGAUUGUAAUGGUUUGCAAUGGAUUGAAUGGAAGUUAAAUGGUUUUCAAAUUGGUU